This is a long non-coding RNA of Salvia hispanica, 401 nucleotides long. RefSeq lists it as uncharacterized. NCBI's taxonomy places the organism in Eukaryota, Viridiplantae, Streptophyta, Magnoliopsida, Lamiales, Lamiaceae. The record is from RefSeq and is a predicted model, not a curated record.
CUUUUUAUAUGUAAAUGGUAACGGUAUAGUAAUUGCAAAGAUGGAUAGAAGGUGUUUGUUGAAGAUUAUUUUCCUUGUUAUACUACUAAUCUCUUCUACCACUGGAAGUGACGAAGUGGAGUUUGUAUCAAGAAGAUUGCUACGAUUGAAAUCAUUAUGUGGUGAUUGUAUCUACAAUUUUGAUUGUGUGCAGAGUGGUUGUGGAGAUUUGUGUGUACCAAAUGAUCCUCAUUUUUUCUUUGGUAAAUGCAGAUAUAGAUGAACAAAGACUAAUCUCAUUUUGUUCUUCACUUUAUUUUUAUUUUUUUAGCACAAAAACCGGGAAAUGCAUAUUCGAUAAUGUAUUUAUAAUUUUGUAAUUAUGCCCUUCAAAUGUUUUGAUUGGACAUGUUUUAUUUUCA